RNA transcript from Cynoglossus semilaevis (tongue sole), 7807 nucleotides. It is a transcript of the gene named WD repeat domain 6, with no coding region annotated. The record is from RefSeq and is a predicted model, not a curated record. Lineage: Eukaryota; Metazoa; Chordata; Actinopteri; Pleuronectiformes; Cynoglossidae. The transcript has 9 exons.
AACUAAACACGGAAACUGGAACAGAAACACAUGUAGACUGUGGUGCUUAUUGCAAGAAAUAACAUAUUUAAAGAACUAUAUAUAAUUUUUACGCUAUCAAGCAUUUUUUCUAAGUCAGCUGGUGCAACGAUAGGAAAUCAGCUUAGGUAAAAUAGGUGUUUGUUGCUCUGGCUAGAAAUAAUGUGUUCUGCAGUCGCUACACGCUGCUAACUAAAGGGGGACACAUCAAAACUGUAUAUGUUAUUCACCUUUUUUUGUCCUCUGUUCGUCAAAAGUUUGUAACACAUUUGUGUUAAAAUCCCAUGAUAUAAAAGUGAAAACAACGACUUCUUGAUGAAGAUGGAGACACUAGCUCUGGUUGCGCCGGUCACUGCUCUGAAGUUCAUUCAUGAUACAAUUCUACUGACAGGUGAGGGUCCAAUAUUGACUGCUUACAGUCUCAGACCUCGUCCCAAAGCUGCUGCUUCUCUCAGUGUCCUCCGUCACUGCAGAAUCCAUGAAAUAAGACACAGAUGUCACACCUCGGAAAACGAGUUUGAUGAUGGAUUGAGUUUGACCAGUGAAUCCAAUGUCAAUGAUGUAGCAGUGUUUGGAGGCAAAGCCUUGAGGCUGGUUAGACUCCAUGUAGAUCUCCAGGGUGGAGAUAACUUACGUUUGGAAAUUUUGAGUCCUCUUAUUGAGUUACAAGACUGGAUCCUGGAUGUUCACUGGCUUUCUAAAGACAAAGGCUCACCUCUGUGUGUGGCCCUAGCCCACAAUAAUGCUCUCCUUUUGGAUGUUAAAACAGGAACUCAACUGUUUCAACGUUGUUGUCUGGACGGCUGCCUGCUGUACUCUGCCCUUCUUCUGGUCCAAGAAAACUGGGCUGACGCUGUCUUAGUCGGAGGAACUGUUUUCAACCAGCUGAUUCUUUGGAGACCUGGAAGUGGAGGAGCAGAGAGUCAUGAAAGUAAAGCUCCAGUUGAGAGGCGUCUGCUGGGCCACAGUGGUGUCAUCUUCAACAUUUCAUAUCUCCGGGAGAAAGGAUUGUUGGCCUCGGCCUCUGAUGAUCGCAGUGUGAGGGUGUGGGCUGUUGGUGUUCUCGGGGUCCCUGGUGGGCAAUGUGGAGAUUUGAACCCGUCCUGUUUAAGUGUCCUGUAUGGACACCACGCUCGGGUGUUCUCGGUGUGUCUCUCCUCAGAGGGACUGUUCAGUGCAGGCGAAGACGGGACCUGUUUAGUCUGGGACUGGGCCAAAGGGGGGAAAGUGGUUCGGACUUUGAAGGGACACCGAGCUGGAGGGGUGCGAGCCUUGGCAGUUAGUAAAGGAACAGGUCAUGAAGGAAUGUGGGUAGCUACCGGGGGGGCAGAUGGAGGGGUUAGACUGUGGAGGCUGAAGAAGAAUGAGAAGAAUGAGAACACAGAAGAAGAGCUGAAUCAGAAACUUAUUGAUUUAAAGUUCCCUGAUCACAGUGCACCUAAAGCAGUCUGUAUAACUGGGGAAAACGAAGAGAAUACAGACUGGAGCCAGUGUAAUGUUGUGGUUUGCACUGAAUUAGGAAAAGUCCACUGUUACAGCAAAGGACAGUGGGACAUUUUAUGGGAAGGCUCUGCUGACUUUAAGUCCUACUGUGUGAUGGAAACUGUAUCUGUCAAAGUGAACGACUCCACAGAGAAUGUUCAUCUAUGUGCUGUAGGAAAUCUAAAGGGUUCCAUUCACGUUUUUCCAAUAUCUCAUCCUCAAUCUGGAAUUCUUCUCUCAAGAGGUUCAGGGAAGAUCCAUAGUCUUAUUUGGCAAGAAGGAAAAGAUGGUGUGUGUUUAUUAGUAUCUGGCUCUGAAGGUCUAGUCUAUCGCUGGUGUAUUAAUGCAAAAAUGACGGAAAAUCAUUAUUUUACUUUUAUUGUUACUCCACUUCCUGCUUUUGUGCUUCCCACUUGUGCCAAAUGCUGGCUGUUGGCUGCUAUCUGUCUGUCUUCCAGACCAGAUGAUGAUCUUUGGGUUUGUGGGGACAGAAGAGGAUCCUUGAUUUUGUUUCAGGAAUCCUGGAAAGCGGAGGGACAUAGUGCUUUGUCAGAAGAACACGGGACAGAACAAACGCAGGACGAGGAAACAGACAACGAUACAGGUGAAGAAAGUAGCAUCAAAUGGCACAUAAAGGACAGUAAAAUACACAACGUCAAGAUUCAGCCUGCGAGUGUCCUGUUUGGUGUUCAUGGUAAACAGGGUGUGACGUCAGUGUGUGAAUACAAGGGACUUCUCUACAGCACCGGCAGAGACGGCUGUGUUAGAAUUUUUAGAGUGCAGCAGGCAGCAUCACCAAAAAAAGUUGAACGAUGCAGCGGAGAGACUGUUGAGAACGCAGGGCAGCUUCAGUUGGAGGUCCUGCGAGUUCAGCGGGCCUGUAAAGGAAUGGAGUGGCUGGAGAGGGUUUUGAUUCUUGAACCUGGAUUUCUGGGAGUUGAGGAGGAAACAGACGAGUGGGAGAACUUUUCCGAAAUGGCGCUUGAAAGUAAGGUACAGGAAGUGAGGUUUGUCAUCGCCGGCUUCCAUGGAGUCCAUUUUGUGGUUUGGGACCCGGUGAGGCAGGAGAGGCUGUUAGCUGUGCCGUGUGGUGGUGGGCAUCGUUCCUGGAGUCUGUGGCCUUCAGACAAAAGGAUUUGGCCUGGAUAUGGAGCAGUGAUCUUCAUCAAACAUGGUGCUGUUCUGGCUUCACAGUCUCCUGGGAAGGAGCAGGCCUUGGCCGCUGGAUCUGGAGGCACCGCAGGGUGGAGCCUGAGAGAGGGCAUUCACGGGAGGGGGAUUGGGUGUGUGUGCAGGCUAGGCAGGAUCAUUGACCCUCAGAUGAAGAACACUGAGAGACCGCUGGGACACUGGGAGGUGGCAGUGACAGGAGGAGAGGACACAAGUCUUACUGUCAUAGCAGUACAUCCUGAAUCAGGCAGAGUCAGAGUCCUCUCAGUUAUUACAGACCACAUCUCCAGUGUGAGGACAGUGGCGGCAAUAACACGGGAAGAGCCAGGCUCUCUCUCCACCUUGGUCUUCUCUGCCGGGGGCCGUGCUCAAAUGCAGUGCUAUCGCCUGUUGAUUGGCUGGGACGGGCAGAGGUCAGCGCCAUCCUGCCAGGUGAUCCAGAUCGCCAGGCACCGCUUGGACGAACAGUGGGAAAGGAGAAGGAACCGACACAGGACAGUCAAAAUGGACCCGGAGACGAGGUACAUGUCUAUAGCAGUGGUGGAUGAAGAAGCAGACUGUGUUCUUCUGGCGUUGGCCUGCAGUGAUGGAGCUGUCAGAUUGUUUUCUCUAAGUGAAGUUAAAAAUCAGUUUGAUUUGGUGUGUGAAAUCUUUUACCACCAGCGCUGUGUGCUCAGCGUUGCCACCUGCAGCCUGGAGGAUGGAAAUGGCAGCAGGUAUAAGCUACUGUUCAGCGCUGCCACAGAUGGGAAAGUCGCAGUUUGGAAUUUGACUGAAGUUUCUUCCUCAUCUGAUUCUUCAAGCAACAUUUCCUUUGCUCAAAUUCCCUGCUUAGAAUUCAGUGCCCACCAGAGUGGCAUCAACUCAUUAGCUGUGUGGAGGGAGAGCCAGGAACAAACAGAGAGUGGCUUUCUGAUCACUGUUGCUAGCGGAGGUGAUGAUGGGCAGCUGACAGUGUCCAGGAUCACAGUACUGCACCCAAAAGACCAGAACACAGGGGGCAGCAAAGAGCUUUCUCAGACAUCAGAGGCAACAGUUUCUCAGCUCCACCUUCACUCUUCUCUUCACAUCCCACUGGCUCACGCUGCUUCUCUGACUGAUCUGAAACUUCUCACCGCAGGCCUCCUGGUCUCUACGUCUUCAGAUCAGAGGGUUUGUCUGUGGACGGUCCACAGUACCGGUAUCAGCCACAAAAAGACACUCUGCUCCCACGUGGCAGAUGCAGCAGGACUUUCAGUCUGGGAGGAGGAGACGGUUGAAAAGAAAUGGGAUGAAAAGGAGAACCAAAGAUCUGAAAGUCAGCCAGAGAUUAUAGUCAGGAAAGGGAAGGGGCUUCGGGGAGAACCAGAUGGAGCGGGAGCCGAGACAGGUGACCCAGUUUUUAGGACAAGGGAUGAAAAUGAAAGUGAGACAACAAAGAGUGAGGAAAAAGGAGAAAGUGUAGUGAAGACGGAAGAGAAUGAGAUCAAAUGUUGCCGGGGAGAGAAGACAGGAUGGCUGCUGGUCUGUGGUCAGGGCUUCCAGCUGAUGAGAGUCGGAAACACAGAUGUGUGUCUGAACUGUCUGUGAUAUCUGAAGUGAUGCACAAAGUUGAGUUCUACUGCAUGGUUAUAGUUGACAUGUCAACUGUGUGACAAGAAAUAGUUUUAUAAUUUAAAAAGAGCCUUGACUUUAAUGAGAAUAUUCCAAAGAAUGACCUUAAACCAAUCACAGCCUUGUACACAAACCAUUCUUUUUUUCAAAUCAAGAGUGUGAAUAUGAAGACGUUUUGGGGGUUUUGAGCAAAAUAAGAUCUGACAUAUAGUAAGCUUGAUUUUUCUGGUGGUCCAGUUUUGACUGGUCCAUAAAUCACAACUGCCAUUUUUAUUUGAAAUAUAUGCUUUUCAGGUCAUUUUGUUGCAAUGACUCUUCACUUGGUAAAUACAGUGUGUGUGUAUAUAUGUAUAUGCAUAUAUAUACAUGUGUGUAUAUAUGUAUGUAUGUAUAUGUGUAUAUAUGUAUAUGUGUAUGUGUGUAUAUAUAUAUAUACACAUAUAUACAUAUAUUCAAUAUAGCUGUAAUAUAAAUUGACUGUCUGCUCAGUCAUUUAUAUGUGUUGAGCUUUUGUCGUCUGUAAAUGUGUGUGGGAGUGUUAGCAGCAUGUUCAUCUGGGACACAUUAUAUUUCUCCUGCUGCUGUGGGAUCCUUCACUUCCAUCUUCUGUCUAUAUAUAUAUAUAAAGUAUUCAGGUUGUGUGUGAGCGUUUGUGGAGGUCUCUGUCCAGUGAGGGCCGACUGCAGGCAUCCAUUAAUAUUUCAAUAUUUCAGCCAUGUCUCAUGUUGCCUUUUGUGUAGUGCCCGUCUGACAACCUGCCACGGUUGGCUGAGAGAAAAGUGAAAGAUAUGUGAAAACUGAACUGGAAAGAGGGGAAAGUUGGCCCUGAGAUGUGGAAGGGUUUACUACCCUCAAAGGUAAAAUAACCGUUAGUGCUUUUCCAUUUAUUGAAAGAAAUUAACCACUAUGGCCAUUUACAGGUGGAACGAAGGGGCAAAAGGACAAGGGAGGACAAGGGAGGAGUGAAAGUGAAAGCCUCAGAGCUGAGGUCGGUCUAAAGAAGAGGGAAGGGGAGGCAGAACUUGAGACGGGGCCAGCUUGGCUCAGUGUCAGCUGAUUAAAGAAAAAGCAGAGAAGAUGGAGGGGGAAAAUGGAAAGUGAGAAAUGACAGGACUGGUUAAUUGAUGAAGGACUCAAACUGGAGGAAGGAAUAAAAGAGCAGCAGGAGUAACACACCUCAAAAAGCCUUUUAGGUCAGAUAUGUCACGUGACCGACUGCCUCUUAUUGGAUCAUCUAGCUGCAAACCAACAGCCCAUCAGGGUAAACGCGGGAAAGGCAACCAGCAGCAGACACCGUCUGCUUCCUGCUCACAUCCAGGACGUCGUUCUGUCCUUCUGGCAGACACCACCAUGACACCCUGGGGGGGCUUAUCACUCUCUGAGACCUCCUUUACUUUGAUUCCUUCACCACAUCAACGCCCUCCUCCACCAACACCAGUUCGUCUCCCUCCUGCUCCCCAGCUGACUCCAGCCAACUCUUACCAACAACAACAGAAUGAAGAAGAACUGUCAAGUUCAAACAUGAGCUCAGAAAUCUCAUCUCCACCACCAACGUUGUCUCCCGGCGCUGAAGUAUGCAGAGAUCCAGGGCUCCAUGGGAGGCAGAGGGCGUUGCCUCAACAUCGAGGUCCCCGUCCUCCGCGUCUCCCACCACUGCGUCAAGUCACCAAUCUUAGCUUCUCACGUAGCUUCACUUUCUCUUUUUUUGAGCUGCCACUCCACCAGUCGCCACGCUGCCGAGCGGAACGCACCAAAAACGUAAUGCUGCUUUUGAGACAAAUCCAUUAUUAAAGGACAACAGCAGAUGUCAAAGUAUAAUCUCAGCCGGUCCGUUAAAAACAAAACAAACAAAAAAUUCAAAGUUAAGACAAGAAAGACAUCAGGAAUUUGAAUUCUCAUCACAAAAAGAUGACAGGGUGAAACGCAUAGGCUCAAGAGAACGAUGAUUUAUUUGUUGUGUUUGAUCCUAGGGAUGUGCCUUUAACAAUCCACCUUUUCAGGGACCGCGUUAAAACUGUUCUAGAACCAUGGCGUGCAGGGUGAGAUGAAGCUCCGAUGGUAAUCUUAAAGAUUUAAAGACCAGUUUGUGUCUUUCAAAAAAAAGUACAGAAGAAUCGUAUCUAUGUAUGUCUUUAACUUGGUAUAUUUUAUAUUAUUUUACCCUGACAUGUAAAGUAAAAUUUAAUUUGACCUUUGACACCAGCAUUGACCUUUGACACCAACAUUGAACUUUGUUUAAAAAAAAAAAAUCUUACAAAACUCUUAUUCGGGUUGAACAAAAAGAAUAAAAUUACAGAUCAGUUCCAUUUCAGUUAGAGAGCAGACAUUUUAAAUAAUUUAACUCCACUUACCCUGCACCUGCAGUACUGCCUCACCUCCUAAGGGUGGCCCAAUGCUGAUUUAGGAAACCCUUCUGCAAUAGUAAAAGUAGUGUGUCAGGGAAAUCAUCAGCUGUGCCAUGAAAAAUGAGUUUUGUGUUUCUCUUUCAUUCCUACAGGUAUAUCACCCUGUGUUCAACUAAACAGGGACAGGUUGAAUACUGUGUUAUAUGCAAGUAAAUUGAAACUAGAAAAUCAUUCUAUCUGAUUACAUAAAUGUUUGUGACAUUUUGUUCUGUGUGGUGUCUAACAUAACGCUAAAUAUGUGCCAUGGUUUUAAAAAGGUUGGAAAGCACUGGUUUACGAUGGUGGGAUCCUUGUUUUCAUGAAAAUGUUUCACACGAGAUGACUAAGACCUGCAUUGAAGAUACAGAGCUUCAGGCCUGUGUACAUAAACGUUUUAUACGUAUUUGUCACUUUUAAUCUCCUCCAACCUGAUCUGUUUCCAUUUUGCAGCAUUUAGCAGUAAAAUUAUUGGUGUAACGAGUAAAUGAGUCGUUUAUUUGUCUAAUAUUUAGACUUAGCGAGGAUUUAGAUUGUGUAUUUGUUUACUGUCUUAUAAUGAAAAAAAUAUUAGAACAGCAGUGGCUUCCAUAGAUAAUGAACUAUGGAAAUUAAAAAAUGGUCGACCUGUAGAGCACCAAAUGUCAUUGUGGCUUUAAUGAACUUUAAUAAAAAACACCAGACUUUGUGUGUGUUUGCACCAUUUAAAUAUCCAGUGUAUAAAACAGAGGGCGUAGUAUUAUACUGGAACAACUACAUCACUAAUUUGACACGUGUAAAACUACCCAAAGGGUUUAGUUGAAAUUAAAGCAACAUUAAGUGAACCCACAGCACCCAGUGUGACUGAUCUAGUCAAAGAAAACACAGAGAAACAGAGCUCAUGUGUCACCGUCUCACCUGCUCAUCAUCAUCUCGCUCGGCAAACAGAGCUUAUAUUUAAAGAGGAAUCAGCCAUUGGACGGGUUAGUGUGUUGUCAACCCAUGUUAUCUGAUCUCUUACUAUAUUACAGCAAAGACACAAAUGAAAGUUGGACCUUCGUACAGGUAUGAAUGAGCCGUGAGUCUUGAUGUUUUUCACAACUAUUUUUUUUUCAUUUCUGUCUUUAUUUUCAAACACUGUCCUCUUGGCUUCCUUAUGUUUUUCCAUUACGAUAAAAUGGCGU